AGAGGUCCUGCCUGCCCAGUGACUAUGUUUUAACGGCCGCGGUACUCUGACCGUGCAAAGGUAGCGCAAUCACUUGUCUCUUAAAUGGAGACCCGUAUGAAUGGCAAGACGAGGGCUAAACUGUCUCCUCUCCAAAGUCAAUGAAAUUGAUCCCCCCGUGAAGAAGCGGGGAUACACACAUAAGACGAGAAGACCCUGUGGAGCUUAAGACAUCAAGACAGGCCAUAUCAAUAACCCCACACUUUAAAGGCCUAAGCCCAGUGGUUACUGUCAGACUGUCUUCGGUUGGGGCGACCACGGGGUAAAACAAAACCCCCGCGCGGAACGGGGCCACUUACACCUUCCCCUAAAGCCCGGGCGACAGCCCAAACAAGCAGAAUCUCUGACCGACACGAUCCGGCAAAGCCGAUCAACGGACCAAGUUACCCCAGGGAUAACAGCGCAAUCCCCUCCAAGAGCCCAUAUCGAAGAGGGGGUUUACGACCUCGAUGUUGGAUCAGGACAUCCUACCGGCGCAGCCGCUAUUAAGGGUUCGUUUGUUCAACGAUUAAAGUCCUACGUGAUCUAG
RNAcentral lists this ribosomal RNA (568 nucleotides) under Siphamia argentea (silver siphonfish). RNAcentral describes it as "partial 16S ribosomal RNA". It matches the Rfam family "Bacterial large subunit ribosomal RNA", at positions 1848 to 2608 of the family's 2925-position model. Lineage: Eukaryota; Metazoa; Chordata; Actinopteri; Kurtiformes; Apogonidae. The record is from RNAcentral.